UCGCUCUUCCUCCGCCCCCCGACCACACCCCCUUAAAGGGCCAGCCCCUCUACAGGCCCCUCUCCCCUACUCCGCCCCCGGGCAGGGGUAGGGGAGGGUCUAUUCGGCAGGGGGUGGCCUAGCUGUCCGUACUCCCCAAACGCAACCUUCCAGUCCCAAACCCAGGCGUUCUAAGCGCUCAGGACGACGAUUUGCGCUCACGCCAGGACCCUAGUCUUCAUUGGACCCUUCCUCAUUCUGUCCUCAUUGAGGCCAUCUGAGAAUAGGGGCUAUCUGAGAAUGCAGGGGAGUGGACAUCGUGUGCAGACAGGGAGUCUGGUGAGGAGACGCUGCGGUCCCCGAUGUCCAGGUCCUCCAGCCCUCGGCCAGCGAGGAGCGAACGGGCUCCUCCGCACGGACCGACACGUGGACUGGGCUCCUGGGAAAGGAAGAGUGGAGAAGGCGGGCAGGAGCUGUCCGGGUCCCUAGACUCUCCGAGUAGCAGGUCCCACGCCCCCAGCGGAAGAAGCCGGGGCUGGGGAUUGUGAGUGCCACGGGGCUGAGGCCUGCGCCGACCUGGUCUGCUGGUGCUACCAGGCUUGAACAGUCUUCAAAUCCACUGCUAUUAGGCAAAUUACCUGGCUCCCGCUGAACUCCAGCACCUAGAACUAUGUCACACUCGUAGUAGGCCGCUGCAUUGGUUGAACAAAUGAUUUUGAAAGAAUGAAUGUCUUCCUCUGUGCCUGCAUUUCCUCAGAAGGCUGUAACAAAGAUUAAAUAGGAAAAUUCGUGGAAAGUUCAA
Molecule: long non-coding RNA, 781 nt
Filed under: Homo sapiens (human)
Lineage: Eukaryota; Metazoa; Chordata; Mammalia; Primates; Hominidae
Description: HSALNT0363176
Source: RNAcentral